This 372-nucleotide ribosomal RNA is filed under the name uncultured organism. Its description in RNAcentral is "partial 16S ribosomal RNA". It matches the Rfam family "Bacterial small subunit ribosomal RNA", at positions 527 to 896 of the family's 1533-position model. The record is from RNAcentral.
GUAGGUGGCAAGCGUUGUCCGGAAUUAUUGGGCGUAAAGCGCGCGCAGGCGGUUCUCUAAGUCUGAUGUGAAAGCCCACGGCUCAACCGUGGAGGGUCAUUGGAAACUGGAGAACUUGAGUACAGAAGAGGAAAGCGGAAUUCCACGUGUAGCGGUGAAAUGCGUAGAGAUGUGGAGGAACACCAGUGGCGAAGGCGGCUUUCUGGUCUGUAACUGACGCUGAGGCGCGAAAGCGUGGGGGAGCAAACAGGAUUAGAUACCCUGGUAGUCCACGCCGUAAACGAUGAGUGCUAAGUGUUAGGGGGUUUCCGCCCCUUAGUGCUGCAGCUAACGCAUUAAGCACUCCGCCCUGGGAGUACGGCCGCAAGGCUG